This is an RNA transcript of Cercocebus atys (sooty mangabey), 2231 nucleotides long. It is a transcript of the gene named tetratricopeptide repeat protein 4-like, with no coding region annotated. Lineage: Eukaryota; Metazoa; Chordata; Mammalia; Primates; Cercopithecidae. The transcript has 2 exons. The record is from RefSeq and is a predicted model, not a curated record.
CAAAUUUGUUAAUCUUUUUAAAGAACCAAGUUUUAGGUUCAUUGAUACUCUCUCUUGUUUUUCUAUUCUCUAUGUCAUUUAUGUUUCCCCUAAUCAUUAUUUCCUGCCUCCUCCUUGCUUUGGCUUUAGACUGCUUUUCAUUUUCUGGUUAUGUAAGACAUACAAUUAGAUUUUCUAUUAAUAUCAUUCUUUUUAAAAGUGUUUAGAGCUUAAAUGUUCCUUCUGACCACUGCUUUUAUUGCAUCCAUAAAUUUUGGAUAUUAUAUUUUAUUUUUAUUCAUUGUAGAGUAUUUUCUACACUUCACGGCACUGGGACCUGGGCUAGAGGGCAGGGCAUCAGCUGUGGAGCAACAUGAGCAGGACCCCACCUCAGACGACACCAUGAACUCGUUCCUGGAAAAGUUCCAGAGCCAGCCUUACCGUGGCGGCUUUCAUGAGGAACAGUGGGAGGAGGAAUUUGAAAAAGUCCCCCUGUUUAUGAAGAAAGUGCCAUCAGAAAUUGAUCCCAGGGAGAAUCCUGACUUGGCUUGUCUCCAGUCAAUUAUUUUUGAUGAGGAGCUUUCUCCAGAAGAACAGGCCAAGACCUAUAAAGAUGAGGGCAAUGAUUAUUUUAAAGAAAAAGACUACAAGAAAGCUGUGAUUUCCUACACUGAAGGAUUAAAGAAGAAAUGUGCAAAUCCUGAUUUGAAUGCUGUCCUUUAUACCAACCGGGCAGCAGCACAGUACUAUCUGGGCAAUUUUCGUUCUGCUAUCAGUAAUGUGACAGCUGCCAGAAAGCUAAAAUCCUGCUACCUCAAAGCAAUAAGAGGUGCUUAUGCCAUCUGGAACUGAAAUACUUUGCCAAGGCUGUGAACUGAUGUGAUAAGGGACUGCAGAUAGAUGCCAAAGUGAAGAAGCUUCUGGAAAUGAGGGCUAAAGCAGACAAGCUGAAGCAAAUUGAACAGAGGGAUGUGGGGAAAUCCAACUUGAAAGAAAAGGAGAGGAAUCAGAAUGAGGCUUUACUCGAGGCCGUCAAGGCUAGGAAUAUCAGGUUGUCUGAAACUACCUGUGAGGAUGAAAUUUCAGCCUCAGAAGGGGAGUUUUUCCUGGAGGAACUCAGCUCUGAGAACCCCCAUGGAGCCAGGUUGAAUCUAGAUAACCAGGGCAGGCUGAGCUGGCCUGUGCUCCUUCUGUACCCAGAGUAUGCCCAAUUGGACUUCAUCUCUGCCUUUCAUGAGGACUCCAGGUUUAUUGAUCAUCUAAUGGUGAUGUUUGGUGAAACACCUUCUCGGGACCUAGAGCAAAAAUAUUGUUCUGAUAAUUUGGAGGUCUACGUUGAGGAUGAGGACAGGGCAGAACUGUACUGGGUGCCUGCCAAGGGCACCUUGCUGCAGGUUCUACAGCACCACAGGUACUUUGUAAAAGCCCUGACACCAGCAUUUUUGGUCUGUGUAGGAUCCAAACCUUUUUGAAAGAAUUAUCCUGGGGAAGAAAGGUGCACCAGAUAAGAUGACUGAGCCAGGCCCCCUGGAUCUCCUCCCUUACCCUCCUCUGCUGGGAACCUAGCACGCCUGAAUCAGUCCAGUGCCUUAUUUCUGUCACCAAGGGGAUAGUCCUUCCUAGUAUCGUGGUGGGGGAGGAGCCUCUGGUUUCCCUAAACUGCAGCCUCUCUGGCUGGUCUUCACUUUCUUCAGUUGAUAUAAAAUUCUGUGCCUUGGCCAUGACAUCCUUGGAUUCCAUCUCUAAAGGGACCAUCUGCUGCAGUUACCAUGGCAACUGACCUGAGCAGCACCCUGGUCUGUGGAGAUGGACUCAGGAUCCAGUGACAUGAUUCUGAACUUUUGUGGAGUUUGACAUCUUGUUACAGAAGCUACCCUUCAAACUGCACAUCUACACACAAACAAACUAUGCAUAGGAUUCCAAGGCUUUAAAGCUGAGAGACUCUGGCCUCAAGUUAUUUCAUGAACACAGAGGGGAGCCAUGUGUGGUCACUGUAGAUGACUUGAGGUGAAAUGGAGGCAGGAAAGCCACAUCCUGCUCUCCAUUUAUAAAGACCGUACAAACUGAGAUCCUUGGUACCCCUAAAAGGAUUGCCAGUUUCCUUCAUCUUUGCCAUGUGGAGGACUGUGACAGACUAGGACAGUGGCCUCUGAGUUCCCCUGUAGUUUUCACAUUUUGAGAUUUUGUGUCUUUUAAACUGGAAAACCUUCUAGCAUGUUGGGUUGUUGUUAUAGGGUAUAUCUUUGUCUGCA